CGGACGGGUGGGUAAUGUCUGGGAAACUGCCCGAUGGAGGGGGAUAACUACUGGAAACGGUAGCUAAUACCGCAUAACGUCGCAAGACCAAAGAGGGGGACCUUCGGGCCUCUUGCCAUCGGAUGUGCCCAGAUGGGAUUAGCUAGUAGGUGGGGUAACGGCUCACCUAGGCGACGAUCCCUAGCUGGUCUGAGAGGAUGAUCAGCCACACUGGGACUGAGACACGGCCCAG
Molecule: ribosomal RNA, 232 nt
Filed under: uncultured bacterium
Lineage: Bacteria
Description: partial 16S ribosomal RNA
Rfam family: Bacterial small subunit ribosomal RNA
Source: RNAcentral